GAUGAACGCUAGCGGCAGGCUUAAUACAUGCAAGUCGAACGGGAUUCGGGGUAGCAAUACUUUGAUGAGAGUGGCGCACGGGUGCGUAACGCGUAUGCAACCUACCUUUAACAGGUGAAUAGCCCCGAGAAAUCGGGAUUAAUACACCGUAACAUUGCGCUGUGGCAUCACAGUGCAAUUAAAGAUUUAUCGGUUAAAGAUGGGCAUGCGUGACAUUAGCUAGUUGGUGAGGUAACGGCUCACCAAGGCAACGAUGUCUAGGGGUCCUGAGAGGGUUAUCCCCCACACUGGUACUGAGACACGGACCAGACUCCUACGGGAGGCAGCAGUAAGGAAUAUUGGUCAAUGGGCGCAAGCCUGAACCAGCCAUGCCGCGUGCAGGAAGACGGCCCUAUGGGGUUGUAAACUGCUUUUGUCAGGGAAUAAACCUGUCUACGAGUAGACAGCUGAAGGUACCUGAAGAAUAAGCAUCGGCUAACUCCGUGCCAGCAGCCG
Molecule: ribosomal RNA, 495 nt
Filed under: uncultured bacterium
Lineage: Bacteria
Description: bacterial SSU rRNA
Rfam family: Bacterial small subunit ribosomal RNA
Source: RNAcentral